Rhopilema esculentum is the source of this 4009-nucleotide non-coding RNA. Lineage: Eukaryota; Metazoa; Cnidaria; Scyphozoa; Rhizostomeae; Rhizostomatidae. The record is from RefSeq and is a predicted model, not a curated record.
GAUGGCCCCUAGGUUAGGGGUAUUUCCCAAUACCAAAGUUAAAGAUACCCACAAUCAAAAGCAGAACAGAACAUUUAAUGAAUUGAAGUGAAUUGAAUUGGUCAUAACCCACCUAGGGAAUGACCAAACUUUAGAUGCAAUUUACACCAAAACCAUAUAGAAUUUCCAAGACCUCUGGUACUAUGCUAGAGAUGAAGUAUAUUUACCCAUUGUAUCAAAAGCUGGUAAUCUUAAAAGCUAAUUUACUAUUUUUCUAUAUUUUUCGAACAUUCCUUACUUCACUACUAUAGAGGGGUUUUAGCGGCGCGUCCUGGUGAAACAAUAGGGCCUCGGUUAAAUGUAUUAAGGAAGGGGUGAUACUUUUCAAAAUAAGUGAAAAAAUCAUUAAAUGUUUCUGGUGUAGAAAAUUACGCUGAGUUGAUUGACACUCUAGAUAAAGGGUCUUAAAUGCACCGUUUUCGAAAUAAUUGGGGUUGAAGUGGGGCAAACAAUAGGGAAAACAAUAGGCCAAACUAAGGAAAAAUGACCACUAGCAUCAAAUAGAGGCUGCACCAUGCUCAAUAUAAACAAAAUGGCGCUUCAAUUCCGCGCGCUAAGUUGCUUCGGAGAGUGUUAAAUGGAUAGGAAUGAUACUACUCAGAUUACUUUGGUUUAGACGUCAGAGCAAUAGCAGAACAACAUCAAUUCAUUGGCGGAUCAUAAGGAGCUGGAGAAUGAAGAAGUCCGUGACUUUUAUGUAGUUUAAUUCUCUUUCGAUAUAUAAUUUUCUAUAAAAAUAAUAAGUUUCGGUAUAUAUCACGUAGCCCUAUCAAUUUUAACUUGAACAAGUAAAAUAUGUACGGUGCUUGUAGUACUUCACCCAAAUAACGAUAGUAUAAUGAGCGAAUAAGUUCAGUACCAGAUUGGUUGUAACAACACGUUUUUUCCCGUAUAAACUUGUUAUUAUUAAUUAUAACAAUACGUCAUAUUAGCAAGUUUUUAUGAAUGUUAAAUUAAGUGUUGUUUUUGUCAAACAAGAAUUUAUCAAGGUUUUUUAUUGUGUUCUUUUGUUCAUCCUUUGCUCGUGAUACCAGCUGUAAAUUUAUUUUCUUACCACUGUAUCGAAAACGAAGUUCCUCUUGAAGGAUAGGUAAUAAAGAUGGAAGAGGGAGACUGGGGCCGGGGGAGCAGAUGCUUCAGAGGGGUCCGAGUGGUACGAGUGUCCGAAUGGAAAUUUCAAAAUCGCAAUUACUCCUGAAACUCUGUAUUUAAAAAAUCAUCCAUAAGGGUUUAUAAUUAUGACUUAUAAAGUGCAUGCUGUGUAAGUUUGCUGUAACUGCGAACGCCUAUGUCACUGCGCAUAUCUGUUACUGACUCACACGACAUAAGUUAACAAGAAUGCAUUUAACAGCUCUUUGUUUUAUGCUGUGGGAAAUUAUGUGAGUAUGAAAUUUGCUAAAACUGUUUCCUUUGAUUGUAUUCCCAAUUCUAACUACAGUUUGUUUGUUUAUUUCGAUAGCCAUAGGAAAUAAUCCGUGUGAUAAAGUUACUAAAACUGUUUCUUUUGAUUGUAUUCCCAAUUCUAACUACAGUUUGUUUGUUUAUUUUGAUAGCCAUAGGAAAUAAUCCGUGUAUUAAAUUUACCAAAACUGUUUCUUUUGAUAGUAUUCUCAAUUCUAACUACAAUUUGUUUGUUUAUUUUGAUAACCAUAGCUAUGUUGACUGUUUGUUAUAUAAGAGUGUGUUCCAACUAACGUUUCAGAAUUACUGUGAAUUUGCUGAAGUGUAGUUGCAAUUUUCGAUUGAUGAAAUAAAAGCAGAUGUUGAUACAAAGUCUCCAACGUGGAUAUAAGAACCAGAAAGUAUAUUGUACAGUUCACGAAUAAACGCGAACCAAAUCAUUAAUUCAAUCCUCGUCAGCUGAGGUGAGACAAUAAAAUUGGUUUAUCUAUUCAUUAGGUGAGUUUAUUUCCAGAUUAUCAAAAACUUCAAUAGUUCCUACUGUUUAUAUUUUUUGCAAUCAAUUUCACCGGCAACGGCAACGCAAUUCACCAGAAUUCUUUUGAACAAGUGCAAAUCUUUAGAACUUGACAACAGAUACUUUUAAUAUACACCUUGUAUUUGAUGUUUAAACUUGUUAUGCAUAAAAUUCUAUCUGGUUUCAUCAUCAGUUGUCUUGUUACCAGUUUCCUCUAUGAUAUUAGAAACAUUUAGCCAGAAUUACGCUUUAAUGUAACUAGUUUGACUAGGGCUAGCUCCCGUUGAAACCAGAUUGUUUAAACCAAAUAACUUUUUUAUCUGGUUACAUCAUGUAACCAGUUGUCUUCCAGCCUGUUUUGUCAAUGUAACCAGAUGCAUAUAACCCGAAUUGCGUUUCUAUAAGAAAAGCUUCAUUGGGGCUUAGUUCGGGUGUGACCAAAUUUCUAAACUGAUUUCUCUAACCUGGUUUUUCAUUUAUUUUACGUAGUUUGACGCGCGUAGCGAGAUUGCUUAUAUCUGGUUACAUCUUAAACUUUUUUCACAAAAUUAGGGUAAAACUAUUGCCAGAGUUAGGUCAAAAUUUUAGAAUCUUCUUUUUGGCAGCAUCUCUCGUGAUAAGGGACGAGGGGGGUGCCGCAUUCCAUAAAGGGAAGGUCUGCUUGUAGUUUGCUGCAUUCGCAGCCCGGGGGGGGGGGUCCAGUCCGUUUGAUUUUAUGUUUAAACUUGUUAUGCAUAAAAUUCUAUCUGGUUUCAUCAUGAAACCAGUUGUCUUGUAACCAGUUUCCUCUAUCAUAUUAGAAACAUUUAGCCAGAAUUGCGCUUUAAUGUAACUAGUUUGACUAGGGCUAGCUCCCGUUGAAACCAGAUUGUUUAAACCAAAUAACUUUUUUAUCUGGUUACAUCAUUGACCAAUUGUCUUCCAGCCUGUUUUGUCGAUGUAACCAGAUGCAUGCAACCAGAAUUGAGUUUUAUGAAAGAGUGUCAAUAAUAUUAAACGAGUUUCAAUAAGGCUAGUUCCCGUUGAAAGCAGAUCGUUUAAACCAGAUGGUUUUUCUAUCUGGUUACAUCAUGUAACCAGUUGUCUUCCAGCCGGUUUUUUCGAUGUAACCAGAUGCAUGCUACCAGAAUUGAUAUUUAUGAAAGAGUUUCAAUAAUAUAAAACGAGUUCAAUAAGGCUAGUUCCCGUUGAAAGCAGCGCGUUUUAACCAGAUGACUUUUUUAUCUGGUUACAUCAUGUAACCAGUUGUCUUCCAGCUUGUUUUGUCAAUGUAACCAGAUGCAUAUAACCAGAAUUUCGUUUUUAUAAGAAAAGCUUCAUUGGGGCUUGGUUCGGGUGUGACCAAAUUUCUAAACCGAAUUUCUCUAACCUGGUUUUCCAUUUAUUUCACGUAUUUUGAUGGGCGUAGUGAGAUCGCGGGGCGAUAGAGUAGAAAAAAGUAUUUGUAGCAAAACAUCAUAAUUUCCUUUUAUUGAAUCAGCAUAUUUUCCUUGUAGGAUCAAGCAAUUGUCCCUCGUUAAAGAACGAAAUGGAUUCAAAUUUUCAUGAACCUACCAAAAUUCUGGACAGAGAUCUGUUUGAAAUUGAUGGAAAUCAAUACGUGGCACUGGCGGACGUUAAAACAGAUUUCCAGCACAUGACUGGAUCAGCCUUCAAAACCAUGCUCCACCGAAUGGGUAUAAGGGCUAGAUUAGCCCAAGGGACGAUAUGUGCAAAGCUGCAGUCACGUUUUGGAAAACAGAAAGGGGGACACUGGCUGAUAGAUAUGGGAGAUUUUCAAAAACUUAACAGCAAACACAAACAGCAAAUCUUCAAACAGCUCCAAAGCACCACAACGAUUGAAGCAAACGAUAAAAUUUCAACGAAUGAAAUGUGCGGGGAGGCCACAAACUCCAUGACUGAUGUGGAAUCUUUCGAAGAUGUUAGAAUGGAAGACUACAGCGUUAAUUACCGAGAUCCACACAAUAGUACACAUGAAGCUGUUAAUAAUGAGUUUCCGAAAAUUGCUGAAUUCUACAGCAAGGUAAUCAAUCCAGAACGGCCCACUGGAAA